ACGCCAGCGGCGCGGCCGGAUGGGGCACGCAAGUGGCCCGUUGUUCGCAUCCCGACCAAUAUUACCGUGGGAGGCGACGGGUACCUCAGAAAACAACAGCAAUCUCCUCUUCUCGGCGAUGGGAGGCGACAUAUUAGAUUCUCAUGGUGACUUCCCUCACCAGUGGAGUGCUCGUGGAUCAAGAUAAGGGGUGAGAAAGGAGUGCCGCCCGGAUCCCAUCCUUGCCGCCGUUCCCACUUCGGGAGAUGAACAAGUGGAAAGAAGGUACGCAAGGCGCACGUCCAAUUUUCUUAAUGCUAUCUUUCAGAUUUGAUUUACGGAACGUGCUGGGGGCUGGGUGGAUUUGAGAGGGCUCGCGAGUCCUGACCUCUGCUGCAGACUCUUCUUGAAAAAAAAAUGCUCCAGACUCAAGGCCGCCGCAACCGAGGAAGUGAAUAGCGAUGAUGCACACCAGAGGAUGCAAGCCUCUUUCUCUGCCUUUCUGGGGUCGUUGUUACACCAUGAGGACAGUGCAGGUUACAGUCUUCUCUUUGAAGAUAUUUUCUUCACUGAUACUCACAUAUCAGUUCUUAUCUGUCAUUUUCACAAUUUUGUGCACUAGCGUGAGGCUCACUUGGAGUUUUCCUUAAUUCUGAUUUGAUGUCCGCGGUAGGUGAUCUUCAAAAUUGACAUUCUUCAUCUGAAGUAUGAGACCGUUGAUUGGUAUUCUCCUGCAGGUAUCAAAACAAUA
This 730-nucleotide long non-coding RNA is filed under the name Triticum aestivum (bread wheat). Its description in RNAcentral is "long non-coding RNA (TAES_LNC028274)". The record is from RNAcentral. Lineage: Eukaryota; Viridiplantae; Streptophyta; Magnoliopsida; Poales; Poaceae.